ACGGGCUAAUACCGCAUACUACUCUCGGUGAGAAUCCGGGAAGUAAAAGCAGUAAUGCGCUGCAGGAGGGGCCCGCGGCCGAUUAGCUAGUUGGUGAGGUAACGGCCCACCAAGGCGACGAUCGGUAGCUGGUCUGAGAGGAUGGUCAGCCACACGGGGACUGAGAUACGGCCCCGACUCCUACGGGAGGCAGCAGCUAAGAAUCUUGCGCAAUGGGCGAAAGCCUGACGCAGCAACGCCGCGUGGAGGACGAAGGCCCUCGGGUCGUAAACUCCUUUUGCGAGGGAAGAAGAUCUGACGGUACCUCGCGAAUAAGCCACGGCUAACUACGUG
RNAcentral lists this ribosomal RNA (333 nucleotides) under uncultured bacterium. RNAcentral describes it as "bacterial SSU rRNA". It matches the Rfam family "Bacterial small subunit ribosomal RNA", at positions 158 to 507 of the family's 1533-position model. The record is from RNAcentral.